UGAGGGUGAAGGUGAGGAAGACAUAAGUCGUCCAGCCUUGCCCAAUUUAAUUUCAGACCAAAGGAAAAAUAUCAAUUGAGAUAAAAACCAACUAGCAACCGUGCGCAACAAGUGGUAGAUACGUGAGUCUCUUAACCAUUUAAUUAGUAAAUGAUUUGAUAGUCAAUCAUUUUGUUUGGUUGAAUCGAAAGGGAUGAGAGGUAUGAUAAAUCAAAAUAUGUUUGGCUAAAUAGAGG
This 236-nucleotide long non-coding RNA is filed under the name Cicer arietinum (chickpea). RNAcentral's name for it is "long non-coding RNA (CARI_LNC000443)". The record is from RNAcentral. Lineage: Eukaryota; Viridiplantae; Streptophyta; Magnoliopsida; Fabales; Fabaceae.